RNAcentral lists this transfer RNA (64 nucleotides) under Elaphe bimaculata (Chinese leopard snake). RNAcentral's name for it is "tRNA-Asp". RNAcentral also lists the same sequence under 1 other name. The record is from RNAcentral. Lineage: Eukaryota; Metazoa; Chordata; Lepidosauria; Squamata; Colubridae.
GAGAACCUAGUAAACAUAAUUACAUAGCCUUGUCGUGGCUAAAUCACAACCUCUGUGGUUCUCA